This 76-nucleotide transfer RNA is filed under the name Desulfarculus baarsii DSM 2075. RNAcentral's name for it is "tRNA-Arg (ACG) (tRNA-Arg-ACG-1-1)". It matches the Rfam family "tRNA". From Rfam's summary of the family: Transfer RNA (tRNA) molecules are approximately 80 nucleotides in length. Their secondary structure includes four short double-helical elements and three loops (D, anti-codon, and T loops). The record is from RNAcentral. Lineage: Bacteria; Pseudomonadati; Thermodesulfobacteriota; Desulfarculia; Desulfarculales; Desulfarculaceae.
GCGCUCGUAGCUCAGUGGAUAGAGCGCCGGACUACGAAUCCGUAGGCCGCAAGUUCGAAUCUUGCCGGGCGCACCA